AAUUUCACACAAAAACUUAAACUAUAAGAACUUCAAUUAACAAAUAAUAGAGACAGAAGCAAUUCUAUCAUAAACCUUCAUAAACAAAACUCACCCGCUUCACCUCCGAUAAAACGAAACACACAAGGAUGAUCAGUCUUGACAGACAACACGUAACGUGUGUAAAACGAAAGAAACAAGAAAUCAAAAGAACUAAAAUUUGGGGAAAGAAUCGACAAAUAACAGAGGGAACAAAAAGAAAAAAAAUAUAUAAAAAAGGAAAUGGGAAAAGAACGUCAAACUAAAAAAAAAACUCCUAUUUCAAAUUUUAAAAGUACUUCUUUAAAAAUUAAAAAGCAAAACCAAAAUAAAUCAAUUCCUCAAAACACAUAUGAUGACUUGAACCCGAAACCCAAAGGUAAACUAACACAUUCACCACCACCAAACCAGUAGGCUCAUUCUAACAUUAAAACGCGAAAAUCCACUCAAGUGCUUGACCUAUUCAAUGAC
RNAcentral lists this long non-coding RNA (489 nucleotides) under Gossypium raimondii (Peruvian cotton). RNAcentral describes it as "long non-coding RNA (GRAI_LNC006500)". The record is from RNAcentral. Lineage: Eukaryota; Viridiplantae; Streptophyta; Magnoliopsida; Malvales; Malvaceae.